RNAcentral lists this long non-coding RNA (2795 nucleotides) under Homo sapiens (human). RNAcentral describes it as "HSALNT0123149". The record is from RNAcentral. Lineage: Eukaryota; Metazoa; Chordata; Mammalia; Primates; Hominidae.
CUCUGCACUCCCAACUUGAGCUGUACUUUUUAAGAAAGUGAUUCACCCUGCCUUUGCCCCCUUCCCCAGAACAGAACACGUUGAUCAUGGGCGGUAUUUUUCAUUGUGCCAAAAAGUUGCCAUGACUGUCAUUAAACCUGUUUAACACCAAAUAAUAAGGAAAAUAAAAUAAAAAAUUCGGGCUUGGUGCAGAAACUCACUCCAAAUACAUUACCUUUAAAAAUAUUUAUAUAAUGGUAGAAAUAUUCCAAAAUUCCAUAUUUUGAGAUUUAUACACAAAAGAUAAACAAAUUAGAGGCCAAGAAAAACGGGGCCUGGAAAGGCCGUUGUGAGGAAUGAGCUGGGCCUAAAGAGGCCACUGGCAGGCAGGAGCUGGGACUGCCAAAGCGGCCGAAAGGCAGGAGCUUUGGACUGGGGAGGCCGCAGUGAGGCGAGAGCUAGCUGGGCGUGGAGAGUCCACUGUGAGGCUGAGGCUGGGCCUGUGCAGGCCUUCGAGAGGCAGGAAGCCAGGCCUGCAAAGGCCGACUGGAGGUCAAGUUCUGGGCCUGAAGAGGCCACCAAAAGUCAAAAGCGGGGCCUGGGAAGGCCACUGAGAGCCACGAGCUGGGCUGGGCCGAAAGAGGCCACUGGGAGGCAGGAGAAGCUGGGCCUGGAGAGGCUGACUCGAGGAAGUUUUGCACCGGGAGAGGCCGCCGAGAGGACGGAGCUGGGCCCGGGGAGGCCAACUUGCAGCUCUUCCAGGCCCACUUCCAGGCCAACUUAAGGACGACUUAGGCCUGCAGAGGCCGCCGGGAGGCUGGAGCUGGGCCUGGAGAGGCCGACUUCAGCACGAUUUAGGCCUGCAGAGGUCGCCGGGAGGCCCAAGCUGGGCCUAGAGGAGCCCACCGACCGGAGGCCGUUUGGGGCCUGGAGAUGCCGUCGGAGGGCAGGAGCUGAGCCUGGCGAGGCCACCGUGAGGCCUGACCUGGGCCUGGGGAGCUUGGCUUCAGGAAGUUGUGGGCCUACCAGGGCCACUGGGAGCUGGGCGGGAGCUGAGUCCAAAGACAUUGUUGGGAGGCCGGAGUCGGGCCUGGAGAUGCAGCCGGGAGGAAGAGCUGGGCCCGGAGAGGACGCCGGGAGGCUGCAAGUGGGUCUGGAGAGGCUGACUUGAGGAGGCCCGGCCUCUGCCUCCCUCAUGGCGGCCUCUGCAGGCCCAGCUGUUCCUCCUGGCUGCAUCUCUCGGCCCAGCUCCUGCCUCCCAGCAAGCAAGCUCUUUUGGCUCAGCUCCCGCCGGCGUUUGUAGACCCCGAAGUUUCUGCAGCCAAGCUCUUCAGGCCCACAUCCUGCCUCCCAGUGGCCUGUAGAGUCCCAGCUCUGGCAGCAGAAGAGCAUCUGCAGGCCCCUGGGAGGCAAGAGCGGGGCCUGCAGAGGCUGUUCUACAGCCAGAGCUGGGCCUGUACAGGCCACCGGGAGGCAGUAGGUGGGCCCGAAGAGCUUGGCUCGAGAAAGUUCGGGGCCUACAAAGGCGGCUGGGAGCUGGGCAGGAGUUGAGCCAAAAGAGCUUGCUUACUUGCUGGGAGGCAGGGCCGGGAGACGCCGACUUCAGGACGACUUGGGCCUGCAGAGGUCGCCAGGAGGCCCAAGCUGGGCGUGGAGGAGCCCACCGACCGGAGACCAUUUGGGGCCUGGAGACGCCAUUGGAGGGCAGGAGCUGAUCCUGGAGAGGCCACCGUGAGGCCUGACCUGGGCCUGGGGAGCUUGGCUUCAGGAAGCUGUGGGCCGACCAAGGCCGCCAGGAGAUGGGCAGGCGCUGAGUCCAAAAAGGUUGUUGGGAGGCAGCAGUCGGGCCUGGAGACGCAGCCGGGAGGAAGAGCUGGGCCCGGAGAGGAUGCCGGGAGGCUGCAAGUGAGUCUGGAGAGGCCGACUUGAGGAGGCCCGGCCUCUGCCUCCCGCAUGGUGGCCUCUGCAGGCCCAGCUGUUCCUCCUGGCUGCAUCUCUCGGCCCAGCUCCUGCCUCCCAGCAAGCAAGCUCUUUUGGCUCAGCUCCCGCCGGUGUUUGUAGACCCCGAAGUUUCUGCAGCCAAGCUCUUCAGGCCCACAUACUGCCUCCCAGUGGCCUGUAGAGUCCCAGCUCUGGCAGCAGAAGAGCAUCUGCAGGCCCCGCUGUUGCCUCCCAGGGGCGUCUCCAGGCCCAGCUCUCGCCCCACCGCAGCCUCUCGGGGCCAAGUCCCUGCCUGCUCCCGGCAGCCUGCGUGCAGUCCUGCUCCUCCCUCACGGUGGCCUGUUGAGGCAGGGGCUCACGCUGACCUCUCUCCGCGUGGGAGGGGCCAGUGUGAGGCAAGGGGUCAGCGUGGGAGGGGCCCGUGUGAGGCAAGGGGUCAGCGUGGGAGGGGCCCGUGUGAGGCAAGGGGUCAGCAUGGGAGGGGCUGGUGUGAGGCAAGGGGUCAGCGUGGGAGGGGCCGGUGUGAGGCAAGGGGUCAGCGUGGGAGGGGCCGGUGUGAGGCAAGGGGUCAGCGUGGGAGGGGCCGGUGUGAGGCAAGGGGUCAGCAUGGGAGGGGCCGGUGUGAGGCAAGGGGUCAGCAUGGGAGGGGCCGGUGUGAGGCAAGGGGCUCACGCCGACCUCUCUCAGCGUGGGAGGGGCCGGUGUGAGGCAAGGGGCUCAUGCCGACCUUCCUCAGCGUGGGAGGGGUCGGUGUGAGGCAGGGACUCACGCCUCUGGGCAGGGUGCCAGAGGCAUGAGUUGGGCAUCAACAGGCCACCGUGAGGCAAGAGCUGGAUGUAGACAGGCCAGUGUGAGGCAAGACCUGGGCCUGUCUA